Molecule: ribosomal RNA, 253 nt
Filed under: uncultured bacterium
Lineage: Bacteria
Description: partial 16S ribosomal RNA
Rfam family: Bacterial small subunit ribosomal RNA
Source: RNAcentral
UACGUAGGGACCGAGCGUUGUCCGGAAUCAUUGGGCGUAAAGAGCUCGUAGGCGGCUUGUCGCGUCGGAUGUGAAAGCCCGGGGCUUAACCCCGGGUCUGCAUUCGAUACGGGCAGGCUAGAGUUCGGUAGGGGAGAUCGGAAUUCCUGGUGUAGCGGUGAAAUGCGCAGAUAUCAGGAGGAACACCGGUGGCGAAGGCGGAUCUCUGGGCCGAUACUGACGCUGAGGAGCGAAAGCGUGGGGAGCGAACAGG